RNAcentral lists this non-coding RNA (26 nucleotides) under Homo sapiens (human). The record is from RNAcentral. Lineage: Eukaryota; Metazoa; Chordata; Mammalia; Primates; Hominidae.
AGGCUCAGUUCUCCUCUCCCUCCCUU